AUUGAACGCUGGCGGCAGGCCUAACACAUGCAAGUCGAACGAGUGGCGGACGGGUGAGUAAUGUAUGGGAACAUGACUGGUGGAGGGGGAUAACUACUGGAAACGGUAGCUAAUACCGCAUACCCUCGGAAGUGCCCAGAUGGGAUUAGCUAGUAGGUGGGGUAAAGGGUCACAUAGGCGACGAUCCUUAGCUGGUCUGAGAGGAUGACCAGACAAACUGGAACUGAGAAAUGUUCCAGACUCCUACGGGAGGCAGCAGUGGGGAAUAGUGGACAAUGGGCGCAAGCCUGAUGCAGCCAUCCCGUGUGUAUGAAGAAGGCCUUCGGGUUGUAAAGGACUUUCAGCGGGGAGGCGUUAUCCGCAGAAUAAGCACCGGCUAACUACGUGCCAGCAGCCGCGGUAAUAC
RNAcentral lists this ribosomal RNA (406 nucleotides) under uncultured bacterium. Its description in RNAcentral is "partial 16S ribosomal RNA". It matches the Rfam family "Bacterial small subunit ribosomal RNA", at positions 30 to 526 of the family's 1533-position model. The record is from RNAcentral.